AGGCCUUCCGUAGGUGAACCUGCGGAAGGAUAUUAU
This 36-nucleotide ribosomal RNA is filed under the name Russula bicolor. RNAcentral describes it as "partial 18S ribosomal RNA". The record is from RNAcentral. Lineage: Eukaryota; Fungi; Basidiomycota; Agaricomycetes; Russulales; Russulaceae.